Molecule: ribosomal RNA, 552 nt
Filed under: uncultured crenarchaeote
Lineage: Archaea; Thermoproteati; Thermoproteota
Description: bacterial SSU rRNA
Rfam family: Archaeal small subunit ribosomal RNA
Source: RNAcentral
ACGGGGUGCAGCAGGCGCGAAAACUCCACAAUGUACGGAAGUACGAUGGGGUUAUCUCGAGUGCAGUCCGAUAAGGGCUGCUUUUCCAUAGAGUAAUAUCCUGUGGGAAUAAGAGGGGGGCAAGACUGGUGUCAGCCGCCGCGGUAACACCAGCCCCUCGAGUGGUGGGGACUAUUAUUUGGCCUAAAGCGUCCGUAGCUGGCUGUAUCCGUCUCCCGGUAAAUCCGGCGUCCUAAGCGUCGGUUCUCGGGUGAUACCAUACAGCUAGAGGGUGGGAUAGGUGAGCGGUAUUUCUGGGGUAGGGGCGAAAUCCUUUGAUCCCAGGAGGACCACCAGUGGCGAAGGUUGCUCACUAGGACACGCCUGACGGUCAGGGACGAAAGCUGGGGCAGCGAACCGGAUUAGAUACCCGGGUAGUCCCAGCUGUAAACGAUGCUAGCUAGGUGUUGGGUCGGCCACGCGCCGCCCCAGUGCCGCAGGGAAGCCGUUAAGCUAGCCGCCUGGGGAGUACGGCCGCAAGGCUGAAACUUAAAGGAAUUGGCGGGGGAGCAC